RNAcentral lists this ribosomal RNA (274 nucleotides) under uncultured bacterium. Its description in RNAcentral is "partial 16S ribosomal RNA". It matches the Rfam family "Bacterial small subunit ribosomal RNA", at positions 523 to 796 of the family's 1533-position model. The record is from RNAcentral.
AUACGGAGGGGGCUAGCGUUGUUCGGAAUUACUGGGCGUAAAGCGCACGGAGGCGGCGCACGCAGUCAGAGGUGAAAGGCCUGGGCUCAACCCAGGAACUGCCUUUGAUACUGGUGUGCUAGAGUCCGAGAGAGGGUAGCGGAAUUCCCAGUGUAGAGGUGAAAUUCGUAGAUAUUGGGAAGAACACCGGUUGCGAAGGCGGCUACCUGGAACGGUACUGACGCUGAGGUGCGAAAGCGUGGGGAGCAAACAGGAUUAGAAACCCCGGUAGUCC